Long non-coding RNA from Stegodyphus dumicola, 396 nucleotides. NCBI's taxonomy places the organism in Eukaryota, Metazoa, Arthropoda, Arachnida, Araneae, Eresidae. The record is from RefSeq and is a predicted model, not a curated record.
GUGUAAACCAUCGAGAGGAUAGCAUCCCGCACGAGGCGUUUUCCCUUGGGGCUGUUAGUGAGGUCGCCAUGCCAACGGACAGCUCACGUGACAUUCUGUUUUCUUUCGGCCGUCUGUGACGCAACAGGCUGUACUAAAGGUUCACAAUCUGGCAUUAAAUUCGAAACCGCAGCUUAAAAACCCAAGGGGAUUUUUGCGCCGUUGUCUGCACUCAGUUUCGUUGUAAAUCGUGAUCAUUCAUUUCAUCCAAUGGCAGUAAUUCAAAACAGAUUGCUUCAUAAAAUACAUUUUAUCAUGCAAUCCAUUUCUUUUGGUUAUGAGUUUGGUAUAUGAAAGAAAAUAGCUGUUCGGAAGAAGAAUAGUAACGCGCCCAUCAUCAGGAGAAAUUACUGUAAC